Non-coding RNA from Marmota flaviventris (yellow-bellied marmot), 559 nucleotides. NCBI's taxonomy places the organism in Eukaryota, Metazoa, Chordata, Mammalia, Rodentia, Sciuridae. The record is from RefSeq and is a predicted model, not a curated record.
CAUCCGAAAACAACACCUAUUAUCUUGGGCUUGGCAGCAAGGAAGAGGACAGGUAGUGGAAAUCCUGCAAUCGGAAAAGCAGACUGAAAGGUGACAAAGAAGCUGAAGAUGGGUGGUGAAGAGAGGUAUAACAUUCCAGCCCCUCAAUCUAGAAAUGGUAGUAAGAACCAACAGAAGCUUAAUAGAAGACUAAGGAUCAGAAUUCCCAGAUGAAAAUUGUUUAUAAAAAAAAAAAAGAAAGAGGACAUGGUUAUAACUCAUCAGCAGCUGCAUAGCAGGCCAUGCAAAAUGGGGGGAAGAACAAAAAUUUUCCAAGUAAUCCAAAUUGGAAUGCUAGCUUAUCAAGUCCCACUUUACUUUUUAAGUCUCAAGUUAAUCAGAACUAUUAUGGAGCCAAAUUUAGUGAGGCACCAUCACCAAGUGUUCUUCCUAAACCACCAAGCCACUAGGUUCCUGUGAACUUUAAUCCUUCAGACAAGGAAAUAAUGACAUUUCAACUUAAAACCUUACUUAAAGUCCAAGUAUAAAAUAAGAUAUAAAGUACUAAUGUUUAAAUUUA